GCGCUGCCUUUGAGCCCCCCUCGCGCCUGCGCGUGGCGCCGGGGGUUAAGCUGCAGCGCCAGAGCACGAGCUUGCGCAUAGCUGGGGCCGCGGGUGCUACACGGGCCGCGCCUUUAGCCGGAGCGACAGGG
RNAcentral lists this small nucleolar RNA (131 nucleotides) under Choloepus hoffmanni (Hoffmann's two-fingered sloth). Lineage: Eukaryota; Metazoa; Chordata; Mammalia; Pilosa; Megalonychidae. The record is from RNAcentral.